This 402-nucleotide ribosomal RNA is filed under the name uncultured bacterium. Its description in RNAcentral is "bacterial SSU rRNA". It matches the Rfam family "Bacterial small subunit ribosomal RNA", at positions 355 to 774 of the family's 1533-position model. The record is from RNAcentral.
UGGGGAAUAUUGCACAAUGGGCGAAAGCCUGAUGCAGCAACGCCGCGUGAGUGAUGACGGCCUUCGGGUUGUAAAACUCUGUCUUCAGGGACGAUAAUGACGGUACCUGAGGAGGAAGCCACGGCUAACUACGUGCCAGCAGCCGCGGUAAUACGUAGGUGGCAAGCGUUGUCCGGAUUUACUGGGCGUAAAGGGAGCGUAGGCGGAUGUUUAAGUGGGAUGUGAAAUACUCGGGCUCAACUUGAGUGCUGCAUUCCAAACUGGAUAUCUAGAGUGCAGGAGAGGAAAGGAGAAUUCCUAGUGUAGCGGUGAAAUGCGUAGAGAUUAGGAAGAAUACCAGUGGCGAAGGCGCCUUUCUGGACUGUAACUGACGCUGAGGCUCGAAAGCGUGGGGAGCAAACA